AUACGUAGGUGGCAAGCGUUGUCCGGAAUUAUUGGGCGUAAAGCGCGCGCAGGUGGUUCCUUAAGUCUGAUGUGAAAGCCCCCGGCUCAACCGGGGAGGGUCAUUGGAAACUGGGGAACUUGAGUGCAGAAGAGGAUAGUGGAAUUCCAAGUGUAGCGGUGAAAUGCGUAGAGAUUUGGAGGAACACCAGUGGCGAAGGCGACUUUCUGGUCUGUAGCUGACACGGAGGCGCGAAAGAGUGGGGAGAAAACAGGAUUAGAUCCCCUGGGAGUCCACGCCGUAAACGAUGAGUGCUAAGUGUUGGGGGGUUUCCGCCCCUCAGUGCUGCAGCUAACGCAUUAAGCACUCCGCCUGGGGAGUACGGUCGCAAGACUGAAACUCAAAGGAAUUGACGGGG
RNAcentral lists this ribosomal RNA (397 nucleotides) under uncultured bacterium. RNAcentral describes it as "partial 16S ribosomal RNA". It matches the Rfam family "Bacterial small subunit ribosomal RNA", at positions 523 to 918 of the family's 1533-position model. The record is from RNAcentral.